ACAUGCAGAGAACUUUACCAGAGAUGGAUUGGUGCCUUCGGGAACGUCUGACACAGGUGCUGCAUGGCUGUCGUCAGCUCGUGUCGCGAGAUGUUGGGUUAAGUCCCGUAACGAGCGCAACCCUUGUCCUUAGUUACCAGCACGUUAUGGUGGGCACUCUAAGGAGACUGCCGGUGACAAACCGGAGGAAGGUGGGGAUGACGUCAAGUCAUCAUGGCCCUUACGGCCUGGGCUACACACGUGCUACAAUGGUCGGUACAAAGGGUUGCCAAGCCGCGAGGUGGAGCUAAUCCCAUAAAACCGAUCGUAGUCCGGAUCGCAGUCUGCAACUCGACUGCGUGAAGUCGGAAUCGCUAGUAAUCGUGAAUCAGAAUGUCACGGUGAAUACGUUCCCGGGCCUU
This 401-nucleotide ribosomal RNA is filed under the name uncultured Pseudomonas sp. Its description in RNAcentral is "bacterial SSU rRNA". It matches the Rfam family "Bacterial small subunit ribosomal RNA", at positions 984 to 1382 of the family's 1533-position model. The record is from RNAcentral. Lineage: Bacteria; Pseudomonadati; Pseudomonadota; Gammaproteobacteria; Pseudomonadales; Pseudomonadaceae.